This 513-nucleotide ribosomal RNA is filed under the name uncultured bacterium. Its description in RNAcentral is "bacterial SSU rRNA". It matches the Rfam family "Bacterial small subunit ribosomal RNA", at positions 1000 to 1517 of the family's 1533-position model. The record is from RNAcentral.
CGGGAAACCCAGGACCCAAACAACAAGGUGCGCAUGGCUUUUCUUCAGCNUCGUCUCGAUGAAGAUUGUUGGGUUAAGUCCCCGCAACGAGUGCAACCUCUGUAUCAACAGUUGGCCAUCAUUAAGUUGGGAACUCUGUUGAGACUGCCGUUGAUAAAACGGAGGAAGGUGGGGAUGAUGUCAAGUCAUCAUGGCCUUUAUGUUCAGGGCUACACACGUGCUACAAUGGCCGGUACAAAACGUCGCAAUCCCGCAAGGGGGAGCUAAUCGCAAAAACCGGUCUCAGUUCGGAUUGAAGUCUGCAACUCGACUUCAUGAAGUUGGAAUCGCUAGUAAUCGCAGAUCAGCAUGCUGCGGUGAAUACGUUCCCGGGUCUUUGUACACACCGCCCGUCACAUCACGAAAGUAGGUUGUACUAGAAGUAGGAGGGCUAACCCGCAAGGGAGGCAUCUUACCACGGUAUGAUUUAUGAUUGGGGUGAAGUCGUAACAGUAACUGUAGGAGAACCUGUGG